AUAUCUCAACUGCUUCAUUGUUGAAGUGAAGUUGGAUUUGGAGGAUAAUUGCUGGCGCAUCGUCUCUGUUGAGUUUAUACGACUUGAUGGACCUGCUUGUUGGCUCCUCUUUAAUUGAUCGGCUUUCUUGUAGGCAAAGUAGCACCUAUGUGAUAAUAUAUAUACAUUGGUUGUGAAAAGCCCCUUACAAAAUGUUUGUAAAGGAAAAAUAUAAGAAAGAAAAGUCUUAUCGAACUGAUAA
Molecule: unclassified non-coding RNA, 241 nt
Filed under: uncultured Agaricomycetes
Lineage: Eukaryota; Fungi; Basidiomycota; Agaricomycetes
Description: sequence contains ITS2
Source: RNAcentral